GAAAGCCGUAUGAGGGAAAACCUCACGUACGGUUUGAUGAGGAGGGGCUGAAAAAAAAAAAAAACUCAGCCCUUUACUCUAGC
Molecule: non-coding RNA, 83 nt
Organism: Paenibacillus yonginensis
Lineage: Bacteria; Bacillati; Bacillota; Bacilli; Caryophanales; Paenibacillaceae
Source: Rfam